CCUACGGGCGGCAGCAGUGGGGAAUAUUGGACAAUGGGCGAAAGCCUGAUCCAGCCAUGCCGCGUGUGUGAAGAAGGCCUUCGGGGUGUAAAGCACUUUCAGUGGGGAAGAAAGCCUUGGGGCUAAUACCCUCGAGGAAGGACAUCACCCACAGAAGAAGCACCGGCUAACUCCGUGCCAGCAGCCGCGGUAAUACGGAGGGUGCGAGCGUUAAUCGGAAUUACUGGGCGUAAAGCGCGCGUAGGCGGUCUGAUAAGCCGGUUGUGAAAGCCCCGGGCUCAACCUGGGAACGGCAUCCGGAACUGUCAGGCUAGAGUGCAGGAGAGGAAGGUAGAAUUCCCGGUGUAGCGGUGAAAUGCGUAGAGAUCGGGAGGAAUACCAGUUGCGAAGGCGGCCUUCUGGACUGACACUGACGCUGAGGUGCGAAAGCGUGGGUAGCAAACAGGAUUAGAUACCCUUGUAGUC
This 465-nucleotide ribosomal RNA is filed under the name Vreelandella stevensii. Its description in RNAcentral is "partial 16S ribosomal RNA". It matches the Rfam family "Bacterial small subunit ribosomal RNA", at positions 338 to 795 of the family's 1533-position model. The record is from RNAcentral. Lineage: Bacteria; Pseudomonadati; Pseudomonadota; Gammaproteobacteria; Oceanospirillales; Halomonadaceae.